UAGGUACUCUAGGGCCAACAGGUGGGAUGCAGAUUGUUCUGUAUGGCUCCACAUGCCACUAUAAUCAAUGGACUGUGAUUUGCCCAGCACGGGGCCUGACACGUUAGGCCUAGAGUGACUAUGUUUGGACUGAUUUGAUCCAGCUUGACACAUAUAUUCAGUUAUAAAAUAGUGGAAGGUUCCUUAAAUUAUAUUUGGGAUUCUUUUGGAGAAGUCGGAACGCCAGGAACCCAAUAUAAAACUCAAGAACCUUAUAGAUGUGGUAUAGACAGCUCUCUUACUUGGGAACUUAGUUUUCAUGGCCCACAUGACAAGCUGGCAAAUGGGAGAAGUGAGGGACAUUUUGCUGAAGGAGUCGAAUGAGCUGCCAUCAUGAAGCAUAGUGCCUUGGCCCAAUUCCAAGCCACUCAGUAUAAUGUUUCUAUCCAGAGCCCACAGUAAUGAGAGGAGAUGUCAAAACCACCUAUUCAUGGUGAUGCUGCAUUACUCGAGUUCUCAACGUCUCCUCUGGCAUUUCAAGUACUCCAGAGACGAAAGUGAUGGGUUGUGGGUAGCUUAAGCUAACCAAUAGGGAAUGCUAAUAGCAAUUAUGGGAAAUCAUUACCAUCUUUGGCCUGAUGGAACAAUGAAGGCAUUUUUACUGGAACCAUGGGAAAGGUGUGGCUGCAAGAAAGGGACACUCAACAAAACAGAUGUGAUUAAGGCAAAGAUCUCAAGGUGAGAUCAUCCCCAAUUAGGAUGGGCCACAAAUCCAAUGGCCAGUGUCCUUAUAAGAGACGAAAAGAGAGAAGACACAGAGACAUGCAGAAGGCCACAUGGGUGAGGAGGCAGAGAUCAGCAUUGUGCUUCCACAAGCCCAGGAACAGCUGGCAUCACCAAAUCGGGAAGGGAAAGGAAAGAUCAUCCCCUGGAGGAUGGCCAUGCCAACAGCACAUUGAUUUUGGACUUGUAGCCUCCAGAACUUCGAGAAAACGGAUUUCUGUUGUUUUAAUCCAUCCAUUUUGUGGUCCUUCGUUAUAGCAGCCCUAGGAAACUAAUGAAACCCCUUCCAUGGUAAGCCUGUCUUGGGGAAGCAGUAUCAAGUUUACGGCUGUACAUGCGGAUUUUGGUCUCAGGCAGACCUGUAUAGUGAACUCACCUUAGUAAAGAAUAAUUGUAAUUUGGGGCUAGAUUUCUGAUUUCUCUGAGCCCCAGUUUUUUCAUCUGUAAAAGGAGUCAUAAUAUUGACCCUAUGGGAUUGAGGGGUAAAUCAUGGGAAUCCCUGGAUGAUGUAUAAGACAAUAAAGACAACCGAUGGUAUUAUUAUUCUUCUAAAACCCUUACCCCCUGUCAAAAUUAAGUACCUCCUUUUUCUGUGUUCCCUUAAGCAACUUUUACAAACUCCCAUUAUGG
Long non-coding RNA from Canis lupus familiaris (dog), 1392 nucleotides. RefSeq lists it as uncharacterized. NCBI's taxonomy places the organism in Eukaryota, Metazoa, Chordata, Mammalia, Carnivora, Canidae. The transcript has 7 exons. The record is from RefSeq and is a predicted model, not a curated record.